This 497-nucleotide ribosomal RNA is filed under the name uncultured bacterium. Its description in RNAcentral is "partial 16S ribosomal RNA". It matches the Rfam family "Bacterial small subunit ribosomal RNA", at positions 28 to 507 of the family's 1533-position model. The record is from RNAcentral.
GACGAACGCUGGCGGCGUGCCUAAUACAUGCAAGUAGAACGCUGAAGAGAGGAGCUUACUCUUCUUGGAUGAGUUGCGAACGGGUGAGUAACGCGUAGGUAACCUGCCUUGUAGCGGGGGAUAACUAUUGGAAACGAUAGCUAAUACCGCAUAACAAUGGAUGACACAUGUCAUUUAUUUGAUAGGGGCAAUUGCUCCACUACAAGAUGGACCUGCGUUGUAUUAGCUAGUAGGUGAGGUAAUGGCUCACCUAGGCGACGAUACAUAGCCGACCUGAGAGGGUGGUCGGCCACACUGGGACUGAGACACGGCCCAGACUCCUACGGGGAGCAGCAGUAGGGAAUCUUCGGCAAUGGGGGCAACCCUGACCGAGCAACGCCGCGUGAGUGAAGAAGGUUUUCGGAUCGUAAAGCUCUGUUGUAAGUCAAGAACGGGUGUGAGAGUGGAAAGUUCACGCUGUGACGGUAGCUUACCAGAAAGAAACGGCUAACUACGUG